This is a non-coding RNA of Vararia minispora EC-137, 98 nucleotides long. The record is from the annotation of a GenBank genome assembly. NCBI's taxonomy places the organism in Eukaryota, Fungi, Basidiomycota, Agaricomycetes, Russulales, Lachnocladiaceae.
GGCGGGUUGGCGCAAUGGUUAGCGCGCUAGUUUCCGGUUCAGGGUUUACUCCCAUGAGCACCUGCUAGAGGUUGGGAGUUCGACUCUCCCACUCGUCG